UNUGACUUGAGUGCAGAAGGGGAGAGUGGAAUUCCAUGUGUAGCGGUGAAAUGCCUAGAUAUAUGGAGGAACACCAGUGGCGAAAGCGGCUCUCUGGUCUGUCACUGACGCUGAGGCUCGAAAGCGUGGGUAGCGAACAGGAUUAGAUACCCUGGUAGUCCACGCCGUAAACGAUGAGUGCUAGGUGUUAGGCCCUUUCCGGGGCUUAGUGCCGGAGCUAACGCAAUAAGCACUCCGCCUGGGGAGUACGACCGCAAGGUUGAAACUCAAAGGAAUUGACGGGGGCCCGCACAAGCGGUGGAGCAUGUGGUUUAAUUCGAAGCAACGCGAAGAACCUUACCAGGUCUUGACAUCCCGAUGCUAUUCUUAGAGAUAGGAAGUUACUUCGGUACAUCGGAGACAGGUGGUGCAUGGUUGUCGUCAGCUCGUGUCGUGAGAUGUUGGGUUAAGUCCCGCAACGAGCGCAACCCUUAUUGUUAGUUGCCAUCAUUAAGUUGGGCACUCUAGCGAGACUGCCGGUAAUAAACCGGAGGAAGGUGGGGAUGACGUCAAAUCAUCAUGCCCCUUAUGACCUGGGCUACACACGUGCUACAAUGGUCGGUACAACGAGUUGCGAGCCGGUGACGGCAAGCUAAUCUCUGAAAGCCGAUCUCAGUUCGGAUUGGAGGCUGCAACUCGCCUCCAUGAAGUCGGAAUCGCUAGUAAUCGCGGAUCAGCACGCCGCGGUGAAUACGUUCCCGGGCCUUGUACACACCGCCCGUCACACCACGAGAGUUUGUAACACCCGAAGUCGGUGAGGUAACCUUUUAGGGGCCAGCCG
RNAcentral lists this ribosomal RNA (820 nucleotides) under uncultured bacterium. RNAcentral's name for it is "bacterial SSU rRNA". It matches the Rfam family "Bacterial small subunit ribosomal RNA", at positions 636 to 1455 of the family's 1533-position model. The record is from RNAcentral.